Esox lucius (northern pike) is the source of this 2981-nucleotide long non-coding RNA. RefSeq lists it as uncharacterized. NCBI's taxonomy places the organism in Eukaryota, Metazoa, Chordata, Actinopteri, Esociformes, Esocidae. The transcript is spliced from 3 exons. The record is from RefSeq and is a predicted model, not a curated record.
UGGGGUCUUUAGGUGAUGAUCUUUGCCCUCUGGGUAAUUCAGGACCAUCGUGGGAAAUCCUGUCCGAUGCAGAGAGACGACCCGACACACUAACACAAACAAACAAACAUUGGGGCGUGUGUGCGUUAGUGUGUUUAUUCCUAGAUAGCGUGUCUAUCCCCUCCCCCCGCUUACCCUCUGAGUUCGGCCUCUCUCAACGAAAACAUUAAAGCGGACGCCCCCUCAGUUCGCACUGACUUUCCAAGGACUACCAGCACGUUACUACCGCUACUUCUCCUUACACAAGCACCCACACUGACACACACACGGUCGGACCUACUUUGGAUAUCUCCUCUGCUGCACCAUGGGUAGGAUCUCUGACUCGGCUCUCGGAUCAGGAAGCAACAGCUCAGCAAAACGUUCUGAAGGAGAGAUAAUAGGAACGGCAAAGGAGGGAUGAGACUGGAGGUUGGAGAUGAACACAGAGACAAGGGGAUGAUAAGAACACAAACCACAUGGUUGUGGCUGACUGACUGGUGAGGAGAGUGGAUUAAUUUGUUUGGCCCCUGAAUGGUGCAGCUGUAAAGCCACUGCCUAACAGUUGCCUGUGUCAUUGUGAGACCAGGGAGCAGCACUGUUGGAGUUGCGCGGUUAUCCCAUGGAGUGUAAUGCGUUUGGCCAGCAACUUCCUGGUUGGAAGGGUUAGCCAUCAAAUAUGGUCACCUUGCCUAGUAGCGCUUUGUACGCCUGUGAGAUCAAUCAAGGUAGAAGGGCAGAGAAAUUGUUCCCUCACGCGUUUAAGGAUUCUGGUGAAUUUCCUGGUUGUGCAAGCAGAAUGGCAUCGGAUGUGAUUCAGAGGAAACAUCUCUACAGCAACUGUUCAGAGUCUGCACUGAAGUUGGACCUUAAUAACAAAUUGGAGUUUGGGAGAAAAACUGGGUAGAAGUAAAGUUUUUUUUUUUUAAACAUUGGGAAAAUAAUGCACAUCACCCACCCUCCCAAAGCUGUCACAGAAAGGGCCUCACUCUGGGCUAGGAUAUGACUCAUAUCACACCAGAUCAACAACUGUCCACUAGGGUUUGCAAGAUAUUUAAAAGACCUGCCCAGUGUUUACAGAUUUCUAUGAAACAUCACCACUAGUGACUAGCUUUUUCUUCCAAAAAUGUAAAGGUACACCUCUAGACAUUAUUUGGAAUAUUUUUGUAGUCUCCCUAAGUAAGUAUAAGCAAUUGGAGGUGUUUCAGUGAUAAUUAUUCACCAAGGUAGCAUUUUGGAAAUUUCAAAAAUGCUAACUUAUUAAUGGAUUGAGCCUUCUAUCUGAUAUAAAAAAUGAAUGGAGUCAUGUUUUGUAGCAUUGACUGUGGCCUUUGUGUUUUACAGAUUGCUCGAUCACACUGGUGGGUAGACACAGUUGUCCUUGUUUAAGAGACUUUGUAAAGACUACAUCCUUUCCAAAACAGAGAAUUUUCCGUAGCUAGCUAGCAAGCUUGUCUUCUUGAGAUUAUAAAACAAUGCUUCUGAUGAUUCUUCAUUACAGGAAGAGCUGGACAUUACUAGAAAUUCAGGAUAUUGUGGAUUGCUUACAACCAGCAAAUGUAGAUGGCCCAGUUUCAGCACCAUGCUGUGAAUUGCCUCAUUAUUUCUGAUAAUAUAGUCAGAAAUUGUUUUAAGUGCAUGUUUUAAGCAGACCGAACCGGCUUCUGUUUUCAGAUGGAUAAGUCUCUCUCACUUCCAUCAGCAUGAAUAAGUGGCGUGGCCCUCUACUCAAUGGCAUCGACAAACAACGGCGAAAUCCCUGCAGUAUCCUGGUGGUUUGAAUUCUAUACUUCUCACUAUUUCCGGUCAGGUGAGAAAACAAGUGGUGAAUAGCCUGGUGAAUAGCGUUGUGCCAUCUAACUUGUUGUAAAAUGUCUAGAGAAUAUUUGAGCCAAUAAGACCAACACCUGAACCUCAUUUGUGCCUCCUGAACCUCAUCCUUGAGAUAACAACCUUCAGAAUGUAGAAUGUCACCAUUGUGGACCAAAAAUAGCUUUAUUUAAAACUAAAAGAUCCAAAUAUCUGCCUUUUUUAAUCAACUGUCAUAAUACCACUGGUCAUUUGCAGCAUUUUUACAGUAUGACAUAAUGAAAACAAAGAUGUUUUAACUAACAAGGGAGGGGGUGUGAGAUUGUAUAACACAAAGAUUAGUAACCUAUCAGAAGGGAGAUCACAGAGGUUUGGUUUCCUUGAAUGUGAAAGCGUCUGUAAAACAUAAGAUAUAUAUUAUUUAGUAUGUAUGUGUGUGUGUGUGUGUGAGAGAGAGAGAGUUUGUGUAUGCCUGCGUCAUGGAAAAAAUGACUUCUCAGUUGCUGACUAGAGAGAGAAGAGAAAAGCAGCCGGCAGAGUAACAAUGGUGGAGCAAUGUUAUUAAAUCUCAGGCCACGGAAGCCUCCGGAAAUGGAUUCUACCAAGCCACCAUCAAAGACAAGAAAUCCUGACCGACAGACACACACACGGAUACUGUAUACAAAGACACACGCAGACACACACACCUCAGGUCCCUACUUACCUUAUACAGUAGGAAGAGGCAGUAAACAUCAGGAAGAGGAUGAGGACCAAUAGGACUCCAGUGAUUCCUGGGACUACCGACCACCCACCAAUCAGUCGUCACGUCAUUAAUCAACCAGAGAACAGAGUCGUCACGUUAUAAAUCAGAUACCAGAGACAAACGGCAUCUAUCCAUCAAUGAAAUGUUCAAAAUCUCAAAAUGUGUCUUCCUUGCGAAAGCGCAAGCAAACGUUUUUGUAAAAGAAAAUACAGAAUAACUCUCAUUACUACACAACAUUGCAUCAGUGGUUUUGAGCAGACUUCACUGUGGGUUUUAAACGUGACACCUGGCUCAGCCUGGUUUAAAACAAAUUCAAUCAACAUCCAUACAGAACAUGCCUACUGGGGUCUGACAGUGAAAUUGAACCUUGACUGAUGGUAGUUUUAGCUCUCUGGAUUCCCAGGAAGUGAACAAG